GAUGCGGUAUGGGGAUAUGCAGGGACACAUGGGGACAUGGCACAGGAACACAUGAGGACACACAGGGACAUGGCAUGGGGACACAUGGGGACACAGUAUGGGGACAUGCAGGGACACAUGGGGACAUUCAGGGACAUGGCACAGGGACACACAGGGACACACGAUGGGGACAUGCAGGGACACGUGGAGACACAGCACAGGGACACACAAGGACAGGCAGGGACACACGGGGACAUGGCAGGGGGCCUGUCACCGCAGGGACAUGGCAUGGAGACACACAGGGACAUGGCAAUGGCACUGCCACUGUGGUGACACAGCAUGGGGACACAGCAUGGGGCUGUCACCACAAGGACAUGUGGGGACAUGUCACCGCCCCACUGCUGUGACACGGCAAUGUCACUGUCACUGUGCGUCGGGGGGACAUGUGGGGACAUGCAGGGACACAGGGUUGCAGUGACACGGUGGCCUGGGGAUGGGGUGGCAUGGGCAGGUGGUGACAUGGGGGUGCAGAAGCAGGAUGACAGGGUGACAUAAUGGCACCGUGACGUGGUGGCACAGUGAUGCAGUGGCACAGCGAUGCAGUGACAUGGGGACAUGGUGGCACAGGGACAUGGUGGCUUGGGGAUUCGGUGACAUGGCGAUGUGGUGGCAUGGGGACAUGGUGACAUGGGGAUGCAGUGGCUUGGGGGUGCAGUGAUGUGGUGACAUGGGGGUGCGGUGACAUGGGGCUGUGGUGGUACUGGGACACAGUGACAUAGGGGCACAGUGGCACAGUGACAUGGGGACGUGGUGACACGGGGAUGUGUUGACACGGUGACACUCACCCUCCUCCUCCAAGAGCUUCUGCAGCUCCAGCGAGCGCCGCCGCCGCGCGGGGUCGGAGGGACAUGGGGGCGCUGGGCACAUGGGGACGUGGGGACACAGGGACCCGUGGAYACCAGCCCCUAGCCCCGCGCUGUCCCCACAUGUCCCCUGGUCCCACCCACAUGUCCUCAGGGGAGUUGGGACACCCAGGCCCAGCCCCAUGUGCCCUUGUGUACCCCAUGUCCCACCCAUGUCCCUCCAUGUCCCUCCAUGUCCCUCCAUGUCCCCCCAUGUCCCCCCAUGUCCCUCCAUGUCCCUCAUGUCCCUCCAUUUCCCUUCAUGUCUCCCCACAUCCCUCCAUGUCCCCCAUGUCUCCUCAUGUCCAUGUCCCUCCAUGUCCCUCCGUGUCCCCACGUCCCCAUGUCCCCACGUCACUCACGUGGUCCCAGGGGCUCCUGGGUGCCCCCCACGGCCAGCGCCAGCCCGGCGGCCCUGAACACCCCCCAGGCA
Molecule: long non-coding RNA, 1314 nt
Filed under: Apteryx haastii (Great spotted kiwi)
Lineage: Eukaryota; Metazoa; Chordata; Aves; Apterygiformes; Apterygidae
Description: lncRNA (ENSAHAG00000009238.1)
Source: RNAcentral